GAUGAACGCUGGCGGCGUGCCUAAUACAUGCAAGUCGAGCGAACGGACGAGAAGCUUGCUUCUCUGAUGUUAGCGGCGGACGGGUGAGUAACACGUGGAUAGCCUACCUAUAAGACUGGGAUAACUUCGGGAAACCGUAGCUAAUACCGGAUAAUAUUUUGAACCGCAUGGUUCAAAAGUGAAAGACGGUCUUGCUGUCACUUAUAGAUGGAUCCGCGCUGCAUUAGCUAGUUGGUAAGGUAACGGCUUACCAAGGCAACGAUGCAUAGCCGACCUGAGAGGGUGAUCGGCCACACUGGAACUGGGACACGGUCCAGACUCCUACGGGAGGCAGCAGUAGGGAAUCUUCCGCAAUGGGCGAAAGCCUGACGGAGCAACGCCGCGUGAGUGAUGAAGGUCUUCGGAUCGUAAAACUCUGUUAUUAGGGAAGAACAUAUGUGUAAGUAACUGUGCACAUCUUGACGGUACCUAAUCAGAAAGCCACGGCUAACUACG
Molecule: ribosomal RNA, 495 nt
Filed under: uncultured bacterium
Lineage: Bacteria
Description: partial 16S ribosomal RNA
Rfam family: Bacterial small subunit ribosomal RNA
Source: RNAcentral